AGAGUUUGAUCCUGGCUCAGGACGAACGCUGGCGGCGUGCCUAAUACAUGCAAGUCGAGCGGAGCUUGCAUGCGGAAGCCUUCGGGUGGAAGCGUGCGGGCUUAGCGGCGAACGGGUGAGUAACACGUAGGCAACCUGCCCGCAAGACCGGGAUAACAUCCGGAAACGGAUGCUAAUACCGGAUAGACAGCCUGGCCGCAUGGCGGGGCUGGGAAAGGCGGGGCAACCUGCCGCUUGCGGAUGGGCCUGCGGCGCAUUAGCUAGUUGGCGGGGUAACGGCCCACCAAGGCGACGAUGCGUAGCCGGCCUGAGAGGGUGACCGGCCACACUGGGACUGAGACACGGCCCAGACUCCUGCGGGAGGCAGCAGUAGGGAAUCUUCCACAAUGGGCGAAAGCCUGAUGGAGCGACGCCGCGUGAGUGAGGAAGGCCUUCGGGUCGUAAAGCUCUGUUGCCAGGGAAGAAGGCCCUGGAGAGUAACUGCUCCGGGGGUGACGGUACCUGAGAAGAAAGCCCCGGCUAACUACGUGCCAGCAGCCGCGGUAAUACGUAGGGGGCGAGCGUUGUCCGGAAUUAUUGGGCGUAAAGCGCGCGCAGGCGGUCCUUUAAGUCUGGUGUUUAAGAGCGGGGCUCAACCCUGCUGCGCACUGGAAACUGGAGGACUUGAGUGCAGCAGAGGGAAGCGGAAUUCCAUGUGUAGCGGUGAAAUGCGUAGAGAUAUGGAGGAACACCAGUGGCGAAGGCGGCUUUCUGGGCUGUAACUGACGCUGAGGCGCGAAAGCGUGGGGAGCAAACAGGAUUAGAUACCCUGGUAGUCCACGCCGUAAACGAUGAGUGCUAGGUGUCGGAGGGGAUAUGCCUUUCGGUGCCGAAGUUAACACAUUAAGCACUCCGCCUGGGGAGUACGGCCGCAAGGCUGAAACUCAAAGGAAUUGACGG
This 939-nucleotide ribosomal RNA is filed under the name uncultured bacterium. RNAcentral's name for it is "bacterial SSU rRNA". It matches the Rfam family "Bacterial small subunit ribosomal RNA", at positions 8 to 916 of the family's 1533-position model. The record is from RNAcentral.